UCGUCCACUCUCCACAAUCUCUCCACCUUCUAAGGUGGCGGCCCCUGCCGACGAGAGGAACUUGCCACACGCUGCACAUUUACCCAUUGUGUUGGCUUGCUGAAUAUUAGUAGACCUCGCAGUACACGAAUAAUCACACAGAUGGCAGAAGCAGCAGAUACGAUGACUCGCCGCUAGAUGUCGUAGUCUAUUGUAUUGAUUAGCGUGAUUUAUUCUAAUAACUUAACUUGUAGGUAUGCUUUACCGGCACUCUUAUACCUUCUUUUUAUAACAACCAACAGUAACAAUUUAUUUGAUUUUGAUAAAAAACUCACUAGAUUGGAGAUGUACAGGUUUGCAAACAAUCACUGAACUCCCGCUGACUGCGAAACACUUUCUUAUAAUAAACUUAUUACGAAAUUA
This is a long non-coding RNA of Melitaea cinxia (Glanville fritillary), 402 nucleotides long. RefSeq lists it as uncharacterized. The transcript is spliced from 2 exons. Lineage: Eukaryota; Metazoa; Arthropoda; Insecta; Lepidoptera; Nymphalidae. The record is from RefSeq and is a predicted model, not a curated record.